GACGAACGCUGGCGGCGUGCUUAACACAUGCAAGUCGAACGGAAAGGCCCUGCUUUUGUGGGGUGCUCGAGUGGCGAACGGGUGAGUAACACGUGAGUAACCUGCCCUUGACUUUGGGAUAACUUCAGGAAACUGGGGCUAAUACCGGAUAGGAGCUCCUGCUGCAUGGUGGGGGUUGGAAAGUUUCGGCGGUUGGGGAUGGACUCGCGGCUUAUCAGCUUGUUGGUGGGGUAGUGGCUUACCAAGGCUUUGACGGGUAGCCGGCCUGAGAGGGUGACCGGCCACAUUGGGACUGAGAUACGGCCCAGACUCAUACGGGAGGCAGCAGUGGGGAAUAUUGCACAAUGGGCGGAAGCCUGAUGCAGCAACGCCGCGUGCGGGAGGACGGCCUUCGGGUUGUAAACCGCUUUCGCCUGUGACGAAGCGUGGGUGACGGUAAUGGGGAAAGAAGCACCGGCUAACUACGU
RNAcentral lists this ribosomal RNA (467 nucleotides) under uncultured bacterium. RNAcentral's name for it is "partial 16S ribosomal RNA". It matches the Rfam family "Bacterial small subunit ribosomal RNA", at positions 28 to 506 of the family's 1533-position model. The record is from RNAcentral.